AACGAACGCUGGCGGCAUGCCUAACACAUGCAAGUCGAACGAGACCUUCGGGUCUAGUGGCGCACGGGUGCGUAACGCGUGGGAACCUGCCCUUAGGUUCGGAAUAACUCCCCGAAAGGGGUGCUAAUACCGGAUAAUGUCUUCGGACCAAAGAUUUAUCGCCUUUGGAUGGGCCCGCGUUGGAUUAGCUAGUUGGUAGGGUAAAAGCCUACCAAGGCGACGAUCCAUAGCUGGUCUGAGAGGAUGAUCAGCCACACUGGGACUGAGACACGGCCCAGACUCCUACGGGAGGCAGGAGUGGGGAAUAUUGGAAAAUGGGCGAAAGCCUGAUCCAGCAAUGCCGCGUGAGUGAUGAAGGCCUUAGGGUUGUAAAGCUCUUUUACCCGGGAUGAUAAUGACAGUACCGGGAGAAUAAGCGCCGGCUAACUCCGUG
Molecule: ribosomal RNA, 433 nt
Filed under: uncultured bacterium
Lineage: Bacteria
Description: partial 16S ribosomal RNA
Rfam family: Bacterial small subunit ribosomal RNA
Source: RNAcentral